GCCAGUCAUGUUGGCACAUGUGUGAAGUCCUAGCUACUCAGGAGGUUGAGAUAGGAGAAUUACUUGAGCUUAGGAGUUCAAGGGCAGCCUAGGUAACAUGGUGAGAUCUCUGUCUUUA
This 118-nucleotide small RNA is filed under the name Marmota monax (woodchuck). Lineage: Eukaryota; Metazoa; Chordata; Mammalia; Rodentia; Sciuridae. The record is from RNAcentral.